This 213-nucleotide long non-coding RNA is filed under the name Gossypium barbadense (sea-island cotton). Its description in RNAcentral is "long non-coding RNA (GBAR_LNC006438)". The record is from RNAcentral. Lineage: Eukaryota; Viridiplantae; Streptophyta; Magnoliopsida; Malvales; Malvaceae.
GAGACUUUAACUAAUAAAAUUUACUAAUUGGCCAAAAAAAAAAUUCUAGAAAACAAUUAGUAGAUAGAUAUAUGAUACUAGUUUAAGGAAAAAUUUACAGAUCUUAAUUUUGAAUUUCGAAACUUGAGAUAUGAAUUUUUAAACGACUGUGACGCAAUUAGCCAACUUGUCUGGAAAUUUUAAAAACAAAUUGUUUGAGCUGUUUAAUUAAUG